AGUUGGGGCUUAAAUUCCAUCUGCUCCCGUUCUCUUUUCCCCUUUUCCGUUCUCACAACCUCCCAGUUCUCUCCACCUCCCACUGGUACUGCAUCUUCAAAUACCAUCCAUACCCCAUCUUCAAAUUCCACCUAUAUAUUGAUAAUCCUCAGUUUAUUUUCAUUUUAAGAAUGUGUUAGCAUUUAGCCGAACACUUUCUCUUUAUUUUAGCUGCCGACAAUCCUUCUCAAAUCAUUCUCUCUGUUGUGCCAUUUCUAGCAAAUCUCCUCUAAUCGUUAGAAGCUAUCGUUGAUGAUGAAAGGGAAGAUCAAAAACUAUCGCUGUUGUCCUACUUUCCUUUUUUAUUAAACCUCACCCAAGGCAAAUGUCGCCCCAACCAAAAUCGACGAUAGCUCAUGAAGUGUUACUCAUCCAAAGACGACAAUGACUUCGGCGAUUGCCAUUCAGUGGUACCUCAACAUCGACGCCAGAAAUUGGCCUCCUAAUCUUCUCAAGAAUCUCCACCUCCUUUCACCGAAUCAUAUUGAAUUGGCAAAGAUGUUGUUGGAGAUGGGAUAGAGCCAUUUGUUUCAUUAUUGGGCAAAGCCUGGCGUCGAGUACAACCAAAAGAAAGCCUUUAUCGUUCAAGUUUCUAUCUCUGUUUUUUAAGCUGUGAAAUUAUUAUUAAAAAAUUUAAUUAUCAAAUUUGGAUUUUUAUUUUUU
Durio zibethinus is the source of this 702-nucleotide long non-coding RNA. RefSeq lists it as uncharacterized. The record is from RefSeq and is a predicted model, not a curated record. NCBI's taxonomy places the organism in Eukaryota, Viridiplantae, Streptophyta, Magnoliopsida, Malvales, Malvaceae.